GCCCGGCUAGCUCAGUUAUUAGAGCACGAGUGUCUUAAUCUCAGGGUCGUGGGUUCGAGCCCCAUGUUGGGCG
Molecule: transfer RNA, 73 nt
Filed under: Dryococelus australis
Lineage: Eukaryota; Metazoa; Arthropoda; Insecta; Phasmatodea; Phasmatidae
Description: tRNA-OTHER
Rfam family: tRNA
About the family: Transfer RNA (tRNA) molecules are approximately 80 nucleotides in length. Their secondary structure includes four short double-helical elements and three loops (D, anti-codon, and T loops).
Source: RNAcentral